This 244-nucleotide ribosomal RNA is filed under the name uncultured bacterium. RNAcentral's name for it is "partial small subunit ribosomal RNA". It matches the Rfam family "Bacterial small subunit ribosomal RNA", at positions 26 to 285 of the family's 1533-position model. The record is from RNAcentral.
AGAAUCAACGCUGGCGGCGUGCCUAACACAUGCAAGUCGAACGAGAAAGUGGAGCAAUCCAUGAGUAAAGUGGCGCACGGGUGAGUAACGCGUGACUAACCUACCCUUGAGUGGGGAAUAACUUCGGGAAACCGAGGCUAAUACCGCAUAACACCUACGGGUCAAGGGAGCAAUUCGCUUAAGGAGGGGUCGCGGCAGAUUAGUUAGUUGGCGGGGUAAUGGCCCACCAAGACGGUGAUCUGUA